UACGAAGGGGGGCUAGCGUUGUUCGGAAUUACUGGGCGUAAAGCGCGCGCAGGCGGCCAGGCAAGUCAGUGGUGAAAUCCCAGAGCUUAACUCAGGAAUGGCCUCUGAAACUGCUUGGCUUCGAGUACGGGAGAGGUGAGUGGAAUUCCCAGUGUAGAGGUGAAAUUCGUAGAUAUUGGGAAGAACACCGGUGGCGAAGGCGGCUCACUGGCCCGUUACUGACGCUCAGGCGCGACAGCGUGGGGAUCAAACAGGAUUAGAAACCCGUGUAGU
RNAcentral lists this ribosomal RNA (273 nucleotides) under uncultured bacterium. RNAcentral describes it as "partial 16S ribosomal RNA". It matches the Rfam family "Bacterial small subunit ribosomal RNA", at positions 524 to 794 of the family's 1533-position model. The record is from RNAcentral.